RNAcentral lists this ribosomal RNA (563 nucleotides) under uncultured bacterium. RNAcentral's name for it is "bacterial SSU rRNA". It matches the Rfam family "Bacterial small subunit ribosomal RNA", at positions 337 to 917 of the family's 1533-position model. The record is from RNAcentral.
UCCUACGGGAGGCAGCAGUGGGGAAUAUUGGACAAUGGGGGCAACCCUGAUCCAGCAAUGCCGCGUGAGUGAUGAAGGCCUUAGGGUUGUAAAGCUCUUUUACCGGGGACGAUGAUGACGGUACCCGGAGAAUAAGCCCCGGCUAACUUCGUGCCAGCAGCCGCGGUAAUACGAAGGGGGCGAGCGUUGUUCGGAGUUACUGGGCGUAAAGGGCGCGUAGGCGGCGCUCCAAGUUAGGCGUGAAAGCCCCGGGCUCAACCUGGGAAUUGCGCUUAAGACUGGAGUGCUCGAGUGCGGAAGAGGUGAGUGGAAUUCCCAGUGUAGAGGUGAAAUUCGUAGAUAUUGGGAAGAACACCAGUGGCGAAGGCGGCUCACUGGUCCGCAACUGACGCUGAGGCGCGAAAGCGUGGGGAGCAAACAGGAUUAGAUACCCUGGUAGUCCACGCCGUAAACGAUGAGUGCUAGACGUUGGGGAACUUAGUUCCUUGGUGUCGCAGCUAACGCAUGAAGCACUCCGCCUGGGGAGUACGGCCGCAAGGUUAAAACUCAAAGGAAUUGACGGG